AAGCCAAUCUCUCUCACUUCUAAACCAGAAUUUGUAGGCCUAUUUUGGUGAAAGUCUUUAAAAAUCUUCAUCUCUUUCACACGAUUCGGUCAAACGAAAAAAAAAACUGUUGGAAGAAAUCCGCGUUUUCAGAGAUUUGAUUCUCUAUUCAAACGAUCAUUUUCGUUCUUCAAGGCCCGCCCCGUCUAACUCGGAAAAAUUAUUAAUUAAAAAUGACGUACGAAUUACGGCUCAUUUUGACCGCAUUUUUUAUUUUUAAAUAUUUCUCGGAAGUAUAUCAAUAUUGGACUCAUUUUGAAGCUCGUUUCUUAAAACGACGUGUUAUAAUUUUUAUUUCAUCAAAAUAUUAUUUUACAAGGGGCAAAUUCUUGAUAAUUCUAUCUACCUCUUUUCCCUAUUCAAUAAAAAAAAAAACAAAAAAAACAAAAAAAAAAAAAGAAGAAGAGAGCAUGCGUCUCUUUCUUUCCAUCUCUGCUCCAUUUUUUCUUUGGACAAAAGUUCAACUUUCCCUCAUCUGAUUUCUUUCUUUUUUUUUUUUGGGCUCCACACGUUUCCUCCUUUUUGACUGCAUAUCACCUUUUCCCUAAAUUUUCUCCUUCUCCCCCAAUCUCAACGACACAAUCUCUAUUUUUUCUACUACCAAAUCACCUCUCUCUCUCCUCAUUAUUUUUUCACCACCAACGUUCAAAACAAACAGAUUUCUUCAACUUUGAAAUCCCGCCCAAAAUCACAAAUUCUAAUUUUUCUACAUCUAUAAAUACUUUAUUAAUUGCUUCAAAAAAAAAAAAAAAGGAGAAAACAGGGAGUUUUGAGAAACAAAAAAAAAAGAAUCUCUCAAUUCUUGUCUAUCUACUUUAGUUAUUUAUAAGUUUUAAUUCUCAUUUUAUUGGGGGAGUAGUAGCGGAUCUAAGACCUCAAAGCCUCGUUCACUGCUCCCGUGGAAGGUUGCCGUGGAGCAUCCAAUUAAUGAAGGUUUGAAGACAACCAAAGGAAAUUAGUGGAGAUGAAGUAUUAGAUAUCUUAGAUUAACUUUGAAUUGUAUUAUUAACUGGCAUGUAAUAAAUUUUUAUUAUUCUUGUAAAUUAGUUUUAGGAAGAGUUAUGGAAUGAUACAUAAAAGACAUAUUUGUCCUUCAAAUGUUCGUUAGGCCUACCUCUGGCAUAAAGAGGUCCCUUGCAUUAUAGGACGCGAUGUAUUAUGUGCAAUAAUGUGUUUAUGUGCAAUAACAUGUCCUUACCGUAUA
This is a long non-coding RNA of Lycium barbarum (goji berry), 1243 nucleotides long. RefSeq lists it as uncharacterized. The transcript is spliced from 2 exons. The record is from RefSeq and is a predicted model, not a curated record. Lineage: Eukaryota; Viridiplantae; Streptophyta; Magnoliopsida; Solanales; Solanaceae.